This 4758-nucleotide long non-coding RNA is filed under the name Sus scrofa (pig). RNAcentral describes it as "lncRNA (ENSSSCG00035030030.1)". The record is from RNAcentral. Lineage: Eukaryota; Metazoa; Chordata; Mammalia; Artiodactyla; Suidae.
CAGAAGUUCCCAGGCCAGGGACAGAACCUGAGCCACAGCAGUGACAAUGAUGAAUCCCUAAUGCUAGACUCACUCUGCAUUCAUUUAUCUGAUGCAUCCUUAGGAGGGUCCUUCACCCGCCUGGGUCGCGCAUUGGAGGAUGGAGGGAGAUGGGGCAGGGAGAUCCCGUUUCCUGGGGCAGCUGGUCAGGUAAGCACAUCCAUGCACUCAGUGGUCACAAGUUCUACGGUAUUUGCAGAGGGGCCGCCAGCCCACAGGGAAGGGGGCGAUCUUUCCCAUAAUUUGAAUGACGCCUUGAUGAUACUUCAGACAGUCACUGAUAACGGUCAAAUCAACAGGAGUUCCGGGAGCCGGGAUGAGACCACCGUUUGGACUUCAAGCAGGAUGAUGACUCUACCACAGGAGCCUUUGUUCUCCGUGUCUGCAAAGUGGGUGACCUCUCCAGGGAGCCGCAAGGCUCAGCCAAGGUUCUGAAAGCAUUUCACAACAGCAUAGCCCUGCACACGCGACAGGGGUGUUAAAACGCCAAGAUCCAAACCCCUUUCUACAAGGGUUGACAACCUGGAAUUGAAAUGAUGACAGAUGCCGAAGUGGGGGGAAGAAAACGUGUUUACCACCGAGAGACUGAACAGAGCAAGGCUGGGAGGAGCGGCGCGAUUCCAAGUCAGCAGCCCCAGCCAGGCUCACGCCUAAUGCGCUUCCCACUCGGCCAGCAUCGGGGCAGCUCCUGACUUUUGGAACAGGUCUGUAAUCCCAAGGACAGUCUGUACAUUUUAAAUUAGAAAAAAAAAAAAAAAAUCCCUGCAAGACUUGGUUCACAUUCGUUAAGGGGAAGUGUUUAGGACCUCUGGCCUUUGAAAAGAAAUCUGACAUAACCCGCUCCUGGUGUAGUGAAAAGAAAGGGCUUUCCAGUUAGGUAGACAGGGUUUGAAUGCUGGCUCUGAGCCCUUCUGUAGCUGCUUUAUUAUCGCCUCGCUUCAGGAUAAUACUCUCUUUUCUGCAGGGUAAUAAUGAGAACCAUGUAUGUCCACAGCAUAGAUGCUCAAUAAACGGCAGCUGUGUUUUCCUUAGCGGGGAGACUUGGGGAACUAACAAAGCAAUGGGGUCUCAUCACCCAGAUGCUGGGCCAUUGGGGGGGGGACAUCGGCUCCUUGUGAAAGGGAAGGAGGUCCAGGGUGGUCCGGCCACCCAGGGCUAAGGCUGACCUCAGCUCCGCCUGGCAAAGGUGAGACCAGGAUAGCAUGUCUUUCCCAGAGAUGUGGGAAAGCUAAAUUAGACAGCAAAUCCAAGUAUGAGACCAGCCGUGUGCUCUGCGGCCCUCUGCGAUCCUGGCUGUGCGUGAGUGGAAUGCAUUAGGGUUUUCUGGAAGGGGGAGGGGGAGGGGACCUGUCUUAACUGGAGAGUGAGGAUGGCCCUGCUGCAGGCAGCCCUGGGCAGCUGGGAGCCCAGCCAGGAGCAGAAGCAGCGCCGCCAGUGGCUCUCCAUCAAAAUCACCCCAAAGCAACUGUUUAGAUAUUCAGAAUCCAGCUCUAUGUCGGGGUUUCACCGGCCAGGGGUGGGGCCUGGGAAGAAUCUGUUUUUUACUGGGACCCACUGUACUUCUGACACUUUUCCCAAGGGCAGGCUGGAGAACGGCUCCUGUGGUAGAGACGGGCCAGGCACUGGCCUCAGAAGGCCUUGGUUCAAGACCCAGCUGGGCGCCAGCUCUCAGGUCCAAUUUUAAAACUCUCUGAAAACACUGGGACUGGGCCCAGGGCAAGUCGGCUAGGACUUCUCUGCAGGCUGCAAAUGUUUGUUUAAACAGGGAAAUAUCCCUAUGAGCUAUUCACUAAAUUAUAUAUAUAAACCACAUACGUGUGUAUAGACGCACAUAUACACGCAUGCUUUCACAUGUGUAUAUGUUUAGACACACACAUAUACAUACACCUAUGCAGACACGUGUAUUCAUGUACAUGUGCAAGUAUACACACACACACACACGUGCAUAUGUACAUGCAGGCACGUACAAUUAUACACACACACACAUAUAUUUCAAUUAAUCCUCAUAAAUGCUCUACUCUGGAACUAACAGUCCUUUUUCCUGAUGAAGAAUCUGAUACGUGGAGAGGUUGUGAACUUGCCUGAGGUCACAUAGCCAGUCAGUGGUGGAGGCAGGACUGGAAACAAGACAGGCUGGAUCCAGAGGUCCGGUCCAUCCCACUCUAUUAGAACAGACGACCCAAGAGGUUCAACAGAGGAGAGACUGAGAGUCAUAAACUGAAACAAGCAACCUGCUCCCCAGGGUGGGCUAUGCCCAGCAAUGCCUGCCAAGAAUCCCUCCCAUUUCUCUAUCUGCAAUGGUUCCCCACUGAGAGCUGGAGUCAGUCUCUCCUGCCCGUGAGAGCACUUGUGCACGCGUGCACAGACACAGACACACACACACCCAUUGCCUAGCCAAGACGACCCACGAAAGUAACAAUCGCACUGCGUGUUCCCCUCUGUGUUCCAGUUGGCCCUACAAACUAGACGUUUCUGCCCCACGGUCAUGAUUUACCAUCAUCAAUAACACCAUUAGCAGAGUAAAUGCCACUCGAAGUCAGAGCCUGUCAAAGUAAACCGUCAGGUGCCUGAGCAAGUGGCAAGAAGGUACCAGUCACUCCCAAGCCACUGGGGAAUAAGCCUCAAGUGCAAGGUCAGCAGGCAUGGCUGAAAUGGACCAUCAGUGUUUCUGUCAGCAGGUGACAGUCACAAAGACGGCAGCGAGGGACGUCUACCUAAAGGCGGGAGGAAACUGAGGUUAGUGCCAGACCUGGCUGCCCCGCAGCUGGCGGUGUGAUCUCAGGCCGUACCUCUCCUCUCAGGCCUCAUUUCCACCGGGAAGCUUGGUGAUGCCCAAAGAACUGUCAGGUGCUUUUCAUGAUUCUCUUUGCUUUCAUCUGAAGCACUGGUCGUUGCCAUAGCAUUUACUUUUUACUUAAGCAUUUACUUUUCACUGGGCAUAAAGUCCAGCAAACUCUGCUUUGCCACUAGAAGGAAACCAGGGGCCAGAGGGUGUCACGGUUGUUGUGGUCACACAAUAAGUCACGGAUGGAACCUCCCAGCCAGUGCUCUUCUCCUCCGACUGGUUAAUGCCACUCUGUCCCCAUGCUGGAUUCUCACUUCGUAGGAAUUCACACCCUCCCACCACCUCUGGACGUGUAUCUUCCAGCCACCCAGCAGGUCCUCAAUUAACACAGACUGGGGGGAUGUUAUCGCCCGUCACUGGAAUGUGUCUCCUUGCCCCCACCAAAGCCAGCUGCUGCCUUCAAACUGGUAUCAAUCAGGCCAGGAAGUUUCUUUUUCCCUGCAACCUAUUGUAUGCAGGAGGAUCAGAGGGACCUGUCAAAUGAGGGAAGGAACCAGCUGGGCACCUGGAGAUACUGGCUGGCCGCUCUCAACUGACCCAUCCCAGCCCUGCUGGUUGCCUGGCCAGUCCCCUGUGCUGGGGACUCUGUGGACUGAUAGUGGGGACAAAAGGAGAAUCGUUGUGACACUCAAUCAGGAGCACUGUCAUCACCUAGAGGGAAGGGUCUGGUCCAAAGCCUGCUAGGAAACUGACCUCAGCCCCUUCCUAUAAACCCCCAGGCUUCAGUGCACCCAAGACCAAAGGGUGAGAUAGGCUCCUGAGGGCAGCAAGUCCAGGAAAACAAGUUUUUCUGAAGCUGCGGUGUGGACAUCAGAUGAGAAGAUCCCUCGGUCAUCUCACAAAUGAGAACACAAAGGCAGAAGAUAGCACCAAUGCGUUUCUAAGUAAACAGGGUGUGCAAGGCCCUGUUCUAUGUGCCUGACAUGCCGAUCGGCAGAAUACGGCCCCUUGGAGAUGCCGCUACCUGGAUGCCUGAAAUCUGUGGCUGGGCCAGGUGACGUGGCAAAGAGGAAUUAAGGUUGCAAGUGAAAAGAGAUCACUACGGCGCUGCCUUUAAUAUAGUGAGAUCACCCUGGAUUUUCUGUCAGCCCAAUGCAAUCAGCAGCACCCUUAAAAGAGGUAGAGGGAGGGAGAAGAAUCAGUCAGAGGACGCUGUGACUAAGGAAGAAGAGCAUGGAGAGAGGUCACGGGGCCGGCUUUGAAGGGGGAGGAAGGGGCCAUAAGCCUAGGAGUGUAGGCAGCCUUUAGAAGCUGGAAGAGCCAAGGAAACCCUGGAGUCUCCAGAAGGAAUCAGUCCUGUGUUCCUUGAUUUUAGCCCAGUGAGACCCACAGUGGAAUCUAACCUACAGAACUGUAAGAUAGUAAGUAUGUGUUGUUUUAAACCACGGAAUUUGUUGUGAAUUGCUAUGGCAGCAAUAAAAAAAACUAAUACUUGAACCAACUCCCUUAUUAAUAAUAAUAAUACUUUUUUUUUUUUGCCUUUUUGGACUGCUUAUGUGGCAUAUGUAAGUUCUCAGGCCAGGGGUUGAAUCAGAGCUGCAGCUGCUGGCCUACACCACAGCCACAGCAACACAGGAUACUUAACUCACUGAGCGAGGCCAGGGAUCGAACCCACAUCCUCAUGGUUACUAGUCAGGUUUAUUAUUGCUGAGCCACAACAGGAACUCACUAUUACUUAUAAUUUUUAUCAUAUUUGUCCACUAUGGCUACAAGUAUGCCACGUAACAAAACACCCUGGGCUCAGCAGCAAACAGUGAUAAGCAUUUGUUCUUACUCACACGCCUGCUCGUCAGCUAGCAGUUAGAUAAUACAGGGAAGGGUUGUGUGAACUUGACUCCAUGCCAGGUGUGAACUGUGAAUCUGCUCCAAGUCUC